This 522-nucleotide ribosomal RNA is filed under the name uncultured bacterium. RNAcentral's name for it is "partial 16S ribosomal RNA". It matches the Rfam family "Bacterial small subunit ribosomal RNA", at positions 355 to 871 of the family's 1533-position model. The record is from RNAcentral.
UGGGGAAUUUUGGACGAAUGGGCGAAAGCCUGAUCCAGCAAUGCCGCGUGUGUGAAGAAGGCCUUCGGGUUGUAAAGCACUUUUGUCCGGAAAGAAAUCCUUGGCUCUAAUACAGUCGGGGGAUGACGGUACCGGAAGAAUAAGCACCGGCUAACUACGUGCCAGCAGCCGCGGUAAUACGUAGGGUGCAAGCGUUAAUCGGAAUUACUGGGCGUAAAGCGUGCGCAGGCGGUUUGCUAAGACCGAUGUGAAAUCCCCGGGCUCAACCUGGGAACUGCAUUGGUGACUGGCAGGCUAGAGUAUGGCAGAGGGGGUAGAAUUCCACGUGUAGCAGUGAAAUGCGUAGAGAUGUGGAGGAAUACCGAUGGCGAAGGCAGCCCCCUGGGCAAGUACUGACGCUCAUGCACGAAAAGCGUGGGGAGCAAACNGGAUUAAUACCCUGGUAGUCCACGCCCUAAANGAUGUCAACUAGUUGUUGGGGAUUCAUUUCUUAGUAACGUAGCUAACGCGUGAAGUUGACCG